AUACUCCUACGGGACGCAGCAGUGAGGAAUAUUGGUCAAUGGGAGAGCUCCUGAACCAGCCAAGCCGCGUGAGGGAAGACGGCCCUAUGGGUUGUAAACCUCUUUUGUCGGAGAACAAAACCCGGGACAUGUCCCGGACUGCGUGUAUCCGAAGAAAAAGCAUCGGCUAACUCCGUGCCAGCAGCCGCGGUAAUACGGAGGAUGCGAGUGUUAUCCGGAUUUAUUGGGUUUAAAGGGUGCGUAGGCGGUCCGUUAAGUCAGCGGUAAAAUUGCGGGGCGCAACCCCGUCGAGCCGUUGAAACUGG
Molecule: ribosomal RNA, 305 nt
Filed under: uncultured bacterium
Lineage: Bacteria
Description: bacterial SSU rRNA
Rfam family: Bacterial small subunit ribosomal RNA
Source: RNAcentral